AGGCAGAUUUCUGUGAUUCCAGAACAGCCAGAACUAUAUUGUAUGACCCUGUUAAAAAAAAAAAAAAAAAAAAAAAAAAAAAAAAAAAAAAAAAAGAAGACAAAGAGGGAAAGACCCAGACAGACAGAAAGCCACAAUUAGUUAAAUGUAGAAAACAACUGAUUAUGGGAUGGCCAGCCCCAACAGAUACAAUUACAACACACAACUCCUGCACAUAAGGCUCAGGCAAUGUCUUGGGAGAAAGCAGAAGGACUGUGAUAGUCAAAGGACCAGGAAAUCUGCUGUGAGAUUGUGUCUUCUAGCUGUGACAUGAAGCUAUACCUGAGGCCUCAACAGCAUGGCUGCCUAAACAAGACCAGAACAAUUUCUACACCAGCUGACAUCCUAAAGUAGAUGGAGAAAUCUCAGAGGCCGAAAGCCCUAGAUGAAGAGCCACAGCCAACUAACAACUUGGGAGAGAGGGAGAACUAGUCUCCAGGGACGAUCCCCUGAUUGGUUAUCCAGUAGCAGCAAGUGGUCAGCCUUGGAUACACAGGCAUGCAGCCACACUGCCCAAACUCCAAAGGAUCUCACUAUGUAGACCAGGCUGACCUUCAACUCAC
RNAcentral lists this long non-coding RNA (602 nucleotides) under Cricetulus griseus (Chinese hamster). RNAcentral's name for it is "lncRNA (ENSCGRG00015038564.1)". The record is from RNAcentral. Lineage: Eukaryota; Metazoa; Chordata; Mammalia; Rodentia; Cricetidae.